GGGAGGUUCUGUUCUAAAGUUUUAAGAAAUCCAAUCCCAAAAUAAAUUGGCAAAACCAAGUUUUGCGGUCCACCAGAGAACAGGAAUAGUACUGUUUGCUGUAAAGAAUGCUACAAAGUAAGUAAUGGCAGAAAACAAAAAAACUGAUCGUGAAUAAGAAAUAAUGUAACAGUUUAAGACAGCUAACAGUGCUAAAAAAAUUAAUUGAUUAAUUAAUCUUGCCUUUCUGAUUCUACAGAGGUUAAUAUGUGGAGCCAAUAUCUGAGACUGUAAAUAUAAAUUAUAGAAUAUAGUAGAAAGGAAGGCUAAAUGUAACUGCCUCUGUGGAAAGAAACUAAGCCGUAUUAGCAGUAAAAGUGAUAUUGGAGUUCUUGAUCAAAAUAUUAAACCUAUAAAGAGAAAGAUAGACUUGGAAUUCUCAUAUAACCUAAUAAUAUAACCCAAAAUUGCUAUAAAAUGCAUUGACGGCAAAUGUGCACAGGGACCGCGAUUCUAGAAUUAAAUUAAUAACGGUCAAAAAGUAGUAAAAGUCAAAAUAUCUCUAAGUCUAAUAUCUCACCACACACCACUAUUGCUACUCCAAGGGCACCCACUCACCACAGCUAAAUUCACUUCUCACAUUAGGACGCUACUGUCAAGGUUGGGCUACCUGGCUUCCUUCUCCGGUCACUCCUUUUGUAUAGGAGCAGCCUCUUCCACAUCAUCAAGAGACCGGGCCGCUGGAAAUCAUCCAUUUACAAUACUUGCAUAUCACAACCAGAGUAGGAGUUUCGGCAAGUUUUCAGAAGUCUAGCUUUGUAAACUUGCAAUAAAGUGUGUUUACUUUGAAUUCUCCUUUUGCCCUCUUAUUACAGGCCAACUUGUGAAUUGGUUUCUGCACAACUCAACCAACCUUCUACAAUCCAUAACCUAGUGAAAUUCUGAGCACAAAUU
Pelobates cultripes (western spadefoot toad) is the source of this 933-nucleotide non-coding RNA. The record is from the annotation of a GenBank genome assembly. Lineage: Eukaryota; Metazoa; Chordata; Amphibia; Anura; Pelobatidae.